GACGAACGCUGGCGGCGUGCUUAACACAUGCAAGUCGAACGGAAAGGCCCUGCUUUUGUGGGCUGCUCGAGUGGCGAACGGGUGAGUAACACGUGAGUAACCUGCCCUUGACUUUGGGAUAACUUCAGGAAACUGGGGCUAAUACCGGAUAGGAGCUCCUGCUGCAUGGUGGGGGUUGGAAAGUUUCGGCGGUUGGGGAUGGACUCGCGGCUUAUCAGCUUGUUGGUGGGGUAGUGGCUUACCAAGGCUUUGACGGGUAGCCUGCCUGGGAGGGGGACCGGCCACAUUGGGACUGAGAUACGGCCCAGACUCCAACGGGAGGCAGCGGUGGAGAAUAUUAUACAAUGGGCGGAAGCCUGAUGCGGCCCCGCCGCGUGCGGGAUGACGGGCUUCGGGUUGUAAACCGCUGUCGCCUGUGACGAAGCGUUAGUGACGGUAAUGGGUGAAGAAGCACCGGCUAACUACGUG
This 468-nucleotide ribosomal RNA is filed under the name uncultured bacterium. RNAcentral describes it as "partial 16S ribosomal RNA". It matches the Rfam family "Bacterial small subunit ribosomal RNA", at positions 28 to 507 of the family's 1533-position model. The record is from RNAcentral.